GAACGCACCUUGCGCCCUUUGGUAUUCCGAAGGGCAUGCCUGUUUGAGUGUCAUUAAAUUCUCAACUUUGAAGCAUUGUUUUGUUUUUCAAAGCUUGGACUGUGGAGGCCUGCCGGCAAAUAAUGUCAGCUCCUCUUAAAUGCAUUAGCAGAACCUUUUGUUUUAAAGGACUGGCUUCAGUUUGGUAAUUCUAUCUAUGCUGUCGCUGUUGACCCUUUGUAUGUUCUGCUUCUAAUGGUCUUUGGACUGUCUCUAUGAGGCAUACACUUUUAAGCUUGACCUCAAAUCAGGUAGGACUACCCGCUGAACUUAAG
This 314-nucleotide unclassified non-coding RNA is filed under the name Clavicorona taxophila. RNAcentral describes it as "sequence contains 5.8S rRNA gene". The stretch from base 1 to 53 matches the Rfam family "5.8S ribosomal RNA", at positions 102 to 154 of the family's 154-position model. Lineage: Eukaryota; Fungi; Basidiomycota; Agaricomycetes; Agaricales; Clavariaceae. The record is from RNAcentral.